UAACACAUGCAAGUCGAACGAUGAAGAAAAGAAUUGAAGCUUCGGCAGAAAUUCAUUUCGGAUUAGUGGCAGACGGGUGAGUAACGCGUGAGCAACCUACCUCUUACAAAGGGAUAGCCUCGGGAAACCGGGAUUAAUACCAUAUAACAUUGCGACGAAGCAUUUCGAUGCAAUCAAAGCUACGGCGGUAAGAGAUGGGCUCGCGUCCCAUUAACCAGAUGGUGAGGUAACGGCUCACCAUAGUAACGAUGGGUAACCGGCCUGAGAGGGUGAACGGUCACACUGGAACUGAGACACGGUCCAGACUCCUACGGGAGGCAGCAGUGGGGAAUAUUGCACAAUGGAGGGAACUCUGAUGCAGCGACGCCGCGUGAGUGAUGAAGGAAUUCGUUUCGUAAAACUCUGUUCUAUGGGAAGAAAAGGACUGUACCAUAGGAGAAAGCUCCGGCUAAAUACGUGCCAGCAGCCGCGGUAAUACGUAUGGAGCGAGCGUUGUCCGGAAUUAUUGGGCGUAAAGGGUGCGCAGGCGGCUUUACAAGUUGGAUGUGAAAUAUUGUGGCUCAACCACAAACGUGCAUCCAAAACUGCAAAGCUUGAGUUAAGGAGAGGUAAGUGGAAUUCCUGGUGUAGCGGUGGAAUGCGUAGAUAUCAGGAGGAAUACCGGUGGCGAAGGCGACUUACUGGACUUAAACUGACGCUCAGGCACGAAAGCGUGGGGAGCAAACAGGAUUAGAUACCCUGGUAGUCCACGCCGUAAACGAUGAGUGCUAGGUGUUGGGGG
RNAcentral lists this ribosomal RNA (781 nucleotides) under uncultured bacterium. Its description in RNAcentral is "bacterial SSU rRNA". It matches the Rfam family "Bacterial small subunit ribosomal RNA", at positions 49 to 829 of the family's 1533-position model. The record is from RNAcentral.